GAUGAACGCUGGCGGCGUGCCUAAUACAUGCAAGUCGAGCGAACAGACGAGGAGCUUGCUCCUCUGACGUUAGCGGCGGACGGGUGAGUAACACGUGGAUAACCUACCUAUAAGACUGGGAUAACUUCGGGAAACCGGAGCUAAUACCGGAUAAUAUAUUGAACCGCAUGGUUCAAUAGUGAAAGACGGUUUUGCUGUCACUUAUAGAUGGAUCCGCGCCGCAUUAGCUAGUUGGUAAGGUAACGGCUUACCAAGGCAACGAUGCGUAACCGACCUGAGAGGGUGAUCGGCCACACUGGAACUGAGACACGGUCCAGACUCCUAAGGAGGGCAGCAGUAGGGAAUCUUCCGCAAUGGGCGAAAGCCUGACGGAGCAACGCCGCGUGAGUAAUGAAGGUCUUCGGAUCGUAAAACUCUGUUAUUAGGGAAGAACAAAUGUGUAAGUAACUAUGCACGUCUUGACGGUACCUAAUCAGAAAGCCACGGCUAACUACGUG
Molecule: ribosomal RNA, 497 nt
Filed under: uncultured bacterium
Lineage: Bacteria
Description: partial 16S ribosomal RNA
Rfam family: Bacterial small subunit ribosomal RNA
Source: RNAcentral